ACUCAAAUGAAUUGACGGGGGCCCGCACAAGCGGCGGAGCAUGUUGCUUAAUUCGAUGCAACGCGAAGAACCUUACCUAGGCUUGACAUGCAAGGAAAUCUCACAGAGAUGUGAGGUCCGCAAGGGCCUUGCACAGGUGGUGCAUGGUUGUCGUCAGCUCGUGUCGUGAGAUGUUGGGUUAAGUCCCGCAACGAGCGCAACCCUCGUCCUAUGUUGCCAGCAAGUAAAGUUGGGGACUCAUAGGAGACCGCCGGGGUCAACUCGGAGGAAGGUGGGGAUGACGUCAAAUCAUCAUGCCCCUUAUGUCUAGGGCUGCAAACAUGCUACAAUGGCCGGUACAAAGGGCUGCGAAACCGCGAGGUGGAGCGAAUCCCAUAAAGCCGGUCUCAGUUCGGAUUGGGGUCUGCAACUCGACCCCAUGAAGUCGGAGUCGCUAGUAAUCGCAGAUCAGCAUUGCUGCGGUGAAUACGUUCCCGGGCCUUGUACACACCGCCCGU
This 497-nucleotide ribosomal RNA is filed under the name uncultured bacterium. Its description in RNAcentral is "partial 16S ribosomal RNA". It matches the Rfam family "Bacterial small subunit ribosomal RNA", at positions 899 to 1397 of the family's 1533-position model. The record is from RNAcentral.